AACUCUAGAGAUAGAGCCUUCCCCUUCGGGGGACAAAGUGACAGGUGGUGCAUGGUUGUCGUCAGCUCGUGUCGUGAGAUGUUGGGUUAAGUCCCGCAACGAGCGCAACCCUUAAGCUUAGUUGCCAUCAUUAAGUUGGGCACUCUAAGUUGACUGCCGGUGACAAACCGGAGGAAGGUGGGGAUGACGUCAAAUCAUCAUGCCCCUUAUGAUUUGGGCUACACACGUGCUACAAUGGACAAUACAAAGGGCAGCGAAACCGCGAGGUCAAGCAAAUCCCAUAAAGUUGUUCUCAGUUCGGAUUGUAGUCUGCAACUCGACUACAUGAAGCUGGAAUCGCUAGUAAUCGUAGAUCAGCAUGCUACGGUGAAUACGUUCCCGGGUCUUGUACACACCGCCCGUCACACCACGAGAGUUUGUAACACCCGAAGCCGGUGGAGUAACCUUUUAGGAGCUAGCCGUCGAAGGUGGGACAAAUGAUUGGGGUGAAGUCGUAACAAGGUAGCCGUAUCGGAAGGUGCGGCUGGAUCACCUCCUUU
RNAcentral lists this ribosomal RNA (539 nucleotides) under Staphylococcus aureus. RNAcentral's name for it is "bacterial SSU rRNA". It matches the Rfam family "Bacterial small subunit ribosomal RNA", at positions 996 to 1533 of the family's 1533-position model. The record is from RNAcentral. Lineage: Bacteria; Bacillati; Bacillota; Bacilli; Caryophanales; Staphylococcaceae.